Molecule: long non-coding RNA, 7025 nt
Organism: Brassica rapa (field mustard)
Lineage: Eukaryota; Viridiplantae; Streptophyta; Magnoliopsida; Brassicales; Brassicaceae
Source: RefSeq, a predicted model, not a curated record
AUAUUUACUUAUUAUUUAUUUUCUCUUAUAAUGUAUAUUUAUUUAUUAUUGAUUAAUGUAAUAUUUCUAUUUCUUAUAUUGUAUAUUUACUUAUUAUUUAUUUUUCCUUAUAUGUACAUUUACUUAUAUAUAUUUUUUAAUAAUAAUAACAUGUGUCAUCUUUCAGAAGAAGUAUUUUUCGCUGAUGUGGACGCUCUAUGAAGCCUAAAAAGAUCCUUUUUAUUAGUAUAGACAAGAGAUUUUGCCAGGGCUACGCCCGGGCUUAUACAAAUAUUAUUAUAUAUGUUAAAUAUAUAUAUUUAAUGUAUGUUAUAAAAAUAGUAAAUUGAAUUAAAUAAGAGUGAAAUUUUAUUCUGUAUUUAUAUGAGUUGAUGUCAGUUACUACGAUGUCUUCAUGACUGAUGCCCGUUGUAAAACAACCUUCAAAAACUGACAUCAAUAUUUGUUUAAUACAAAAUUUAAAAUGUUUAUAAACUUAAAAUACCAUUAUUUUUAAAAGUAAUAAUUAUAAAACAGAUUCUAUAAUUUAUUUUCACACAUGUUGGUUCAUUACCAGAGUUAUUAUUUUGAUUACGUUCUUAGGAGUUUGUUUUAUAUUUUUGUGUACCACCAUCUCACCAUCUUAAAUUUCUAAUAUAUCACCCAACAUGUAUAUUUUCUAAAAUAUUCCAAUUUGUUUUGUGUGGAAACAGUUUAUUUAAAAUCUCAGUAUUAAAACUAAAUUGUAGAGAAUUUAUAUUUAUUUAAAUAUAUUCUAACCGACUGUAUAUUUCAAGAAGAUUCUAUUUAUUAUUUUACAUAGUGAUAAGUAACUGAAUAUUUUUUUAAACCAAAAUGCAUGACUAAAUUAUUAUUUAGUUUCUUACAAUAAUAUCUACAAAUAAUAAGAGUAAACUUUAAAUAAUUAAAGAAUUUAAAUUUUUAUUUCUGUAUAUUCUGAAAAUAAAAACACAUUCAAUAUCUACCUAAUCGCAUAAAAAUUAAAAACAAUCAUCAAAAAUUAAAAACUUCAUCUAGAAUAUGAGCGCUCAAGAAAAUACAUACUAAGUAUCCCUUAAACGUUGGUUAUUUAAAUGUUUAUUUUAAUUAGAUGGAGUUUGUUUCUUUAAAUCAAAUCUUCACUUUAUAUUUUUAAACUAUGCAUUUUCUUAUAUUUUUAAUAUAAUUUCUUAAUAAUAUAAAAAUAGAGAUUUACAAAAUUAGAUUGAUCAAGUUAUCUAUAUAACACAAAAAAAUAGAUUUAACUUCGUAUAUUUGACUGUAGUUAUAUAUAACUGUUUAUUAGAAAAGAUUUUCAUUGUUUUUAUUUUAUUUUUACAUAAAUAUUAAAACAAGAUCAUUAAAUAAAAAUAUUAGAAUAGUAAAAUAUAUAAUUCACUAAAUGAAAGAAGAAUUUGUAAAGUUUUUUUCAUUUUUAAAACACAAUUUAAUUAAAACUCACAGUUUAUAUAUAGUUUAUAAGCUUUAAAAUGGAUAUAUUUUGAUGAUAAUUAAGCAAUAAAUUUGUUGAUAAAACUCAUAAAAAUAACAAAAAAAUUACAAUUAUUACUAUAUUUUUGAUAUAAAUUAUUUUUAAUCAUAAAUAAUAAUAAAUUUAGUAUGAAAUUUUGAUCAAAAAAUGCCCCUUCGUACUGGAAGCCCUAAGCGGUGGCUUGAGUCGAUUGCGCUCCGGACCGGCCCUGAGCCAAACAGAAUUUAGUUGUUAUAAUCAAAACUUGGAAUCAUAUAAAAUAAUAUUUAUUCAUAUAUGUAAUGUAAAUGGUUUUGCACACAUUUAUCUUAAAAGAUCCCAAUGAAAAUUUAUCUUGUUAUUAGUUAAUAAUAUAUCUUGUUAUAUACAUAACGUAAAUGAGACUGCAGCUAAGCUUUGAGUAACUAAUUUUGAACUGAAGUAUAUCAUUCUGUCUCUCUGUUUGUAUUUUACUAAGUGCACCAUGCUUAUACAAUUUUGGUAAUGAAAACCAAACUGAACCCUCGGGGACACACAAAACCCAUAGAUACUUUUUUAAUCUUCCCAUUGCAAAUUUUUUUAGUUUUUUUUUCUUUUUGACAAAGUACUUCUUUAGUUUUCUUCUUACAUUGUAGUCAACUCUUAUAUUUACUUCUGUGGUGUAUGAAUCUUGUGAUUUACUUCUUCUGUGGUGUUUAAGACCUUCCUUUCAUGUUCAAUGGUUGGAGUCAACCAUAAACACAGAUUAGUAUACAGUUCGGCAACCACUUUAAUUACUUAUCCCCACCUUACGUGGUAGCUUCAUUACUUAGUACAGAACUCUCAUAAUUAGCUAUGUAAACAACUGGAUCUCACAUGAAGAUUGCCAAGUUACAUUAGCCAGAGACCCAUCAUACUUAGAUCUAUUUGUACAUUAGAAUUAGAGCACUUAUAUAAUCUACUUAUAUAUCUUCACUCUGUGUCAUUUUUAAUGGUUAUACACAAAUACAACAAAUCCUUGCCGUGACGGCCUGAUAAAAGAAGUAAAUUAAUGAAAAAGAAGCAAAGAUGGAUCUGCAAGUUUGAAGAAUCAGUUCUAUGAAUUUCUUUUGCUACGUAAUGCGUCCAAAAAAACUGGGGAACAUAAUCAAAUGUCUAAUACUUUUUGUUCAUGUUCUUUGGAAGGCUACCCACCCACCUUCUAGUUUUGCAUAUGGGUAAAACCCAGGUCUGUAGCCUUACUUGGUUUUGGUUUUUAAUCGACUUUCAUCAUUUGCAUAAAGUUGUAUUAGGGCCCGCUAGUUACCUUUUUUUGAUCAGCAAAACACGCAAAAGUCUAUUAGCUUCCAUUAGAUUUGAUUUGCUUACUUACCUUUCUAAAGAUAGGCCAAACAAAAGUGAUUUGUAAAUAGCCACAAAGCGGCAAACCUGUCACACAUAGUACCUAGCGACAUGGUCGGAGAUUCUCCCAAUAGUAAAUAGCCACAUAUCACAGUUAUUCUAGAUAUAUAGUAGAACUAAAUGUAAUCUACGUUACCUUGUUUGUAAACAGUGCUCUGAUUUUCCGGUCUGUUUGAAGGGUUAAGCUCUGAAACAACAGUAUACUCGAGUAUAUAUCUUUAAUCUGAACCAGGCUAAAAGUUUUCAGAGUUGCAAGCAGGCUGUUAGGAAGAAGAACUAACCCAGAUUGGUCAGACAUGCUCAAGGUAGUAAGGUAGUGUGUGGAGAAGCAUAUACAUUAAUGGACAAGAUUCUCAUUCGCCUUCUGUUUCAAGUAGUUGUUUAUCAUGUUUGGCGGGAGAGAAACCUCCGACGACACCAACACGGAUUUAAGGGAACAGAUCAGUUGAUCUGUAUGGUAAGCAAGGUUGUCAAGAAUCGGAUCUCAUCGCUGGGUCAUAAGGGACAUCAUAGACUUGAAAGGCUCAUGAGAAGGUGGUUUGAUGAGGUUUUUGGAUAUGAAAGGAUAUUCACUCAAUUUAUAUUUUUUAGUUAUAUAGUUCCUCAUUCUUUUAGGAAAUCAUUCUUUGUAAAUUCUUCCCAAAUGAUGAUCAAUAAAUUCAAAAUUUCAUCAAAAAAAAAAGUUUCCAGAGUUGCUUCCACCUUAUAUGCUAAAAAAAAAAGAAUGCUUAUCUUUUUCUAGUGUUUUUUGCGCCAGUGAGCUUCACCAAUUCCUGAAGAAAAGAAAUACAAUAAAGUUGUAAAUUCAAAAGUUGUGAAGCCAUCACAGAAUCAAUGUCGAUGUUGAUGGUGGAGCCAUUUUUUUUUUUUGCUGGAGUUUUCAUUGAAGUCUCCUUUAAUCGGUGCCGAUGUUGCUAAUAUAUUGAGUUUCAAAGCAAUGUAUUUUUUAGGAUAUUCGUAUAAAAAUAUAUUUAAAUUAAAAAGGUAAAAUUAUAUAUUUUAUAUAAAUGUUUAAUAUAAUAUUUCCAUUUUUAUACGUAUAUUAAUAUGUAAAAUUAUACAUUUUAUAUAAAUAUUUAAUGUAGUAUUUCUAUUGUUUAUAUUGUAUAUUAAUUUAAAAAUGUAUAAUGUCACGUGUCUUCUUCUAGGAUAAUUUUUUUCCGCUGAUGUGGACGCUCUAUGGAGCCUCAAAAAGUACAUUUUAUUAGUAUAGAUGUUGAUGGUGGAGCCAUUGUUUUUUUUGCUGGAGUUUCGUUGAAGUCUCCUUUAAUCGGUGUCGAUGUUGCUAAGAUAUUGAGUUUUAUAGCAAUGUAUUUUUUAGGAUAUUCGUAUAAAAAUAUAUUUAAAUUAAAAAAUGUAAAUUUAUACAUUUUAUAUAAAUGUUUAAUGUAAUAUUUCUAUUUUUUAUAUUUUAUAUUAAUUUAAAAAUGUAUAAUGCCAAGUGUCUUCUUCUAGGAGAAUUUUAUUUCGCUGAUGGAGACGCUCUAUGGAGCCUCAAAAAGUCUCUUUUAUAAUAACUCAUAUAUCAUCACUAAGAUAAUUAUAUAUCUAUAUAUAUCACAUUAAUAAAAAAUAAAAUUGAUACAAAUAUAUUUUUUCGUCAACUUAUCUCUAUACUAUUAUUUAAAAAUUUAGUUCUAUAUGUGUCGAUCUCAAGUUAAUUAUUAGAACGAUUGAUUAUAAUGGUUUCCUUAAUGAAUCAAAGAUAUUAUAUGUAAUGUUAUUAUUGAACUUUUUCUGUUUUCAGUUUCUCAUUCUCUUUAAUAUUGUGUUAAAAUAAUUUGUAAAUAUAUAUUUCCUUUUUUGUUAUAAUACUUCCAAAUCAGAUAUAACAAGACAAAUAUCCCCAAAAUAAAAUUUAAAAUUGGUGUUUCCUUUGUUGUCCAAACCAAAUAAAGUAGAUUAAUUUAUAUUAAAAUAUAUAAAUGAUUUAUUAUUAUAUGACUUUUUGAAAUCACGUAUAUAUAUAUAUAUAUAUAUUGUCGCUUUUUAUCUUUAUAAAUAACAAUAUGUUUCUUUUUUUUAGAUAAAAAUAAUAUAAUUAUAAUAAAAGGGAGACACAAACUUAAAAUUUAAUAUUAAAAACUGUGAUCGAUGGAUUCAUAAUUGUCACAAUCGUCAAUACUUACUUCUUUUUUCUUACAAGUGAAAACUCAAAUCAUCUUUAUAUAUAAAGUACAGUUUCUCUCUCUCCUGGGCGUGCCACAUCAGCGUCCACCUAGGAAAGUCGAGCUCUGGCGUUGCGACAUGUGUCAUGUCUAUACAAAACGAAUCGUUGCAUUAAAACUACAGUCUGAUGAGCUUAUAUCGUUUUGUGUAUAUAUAAUGUUUUGGGCUAAUAGUUGGGCUUAAACUUAAUGUUUUGGGCUGACAAAAAAAUAGAAGCUUAUCCCAAUUGUCGUAUUCUCUUUCUUCAACAACAGCGACCUUUGAUUUCUAGGGUUCAUCUCAUCAUGUUCUUCUUGAUGUAAUUAGGUCAACCGACUAUGCAGUUUGUUGGGCUUUGAGCAAACAAAACUCAUCGUCAUUGGCUAUGCGAUUAGACUUCUUCUACUCGGGAAUCUUUUUCAGAACCGUUACAGAAAUCAACCUGAUUCAUGCAUCUUCAUUAACAUUCACAUUAACACCAAUCCUCCACUUCUCACAUGAUCUCCAUUCAAUGAAUCUCACAUUCAUUCCUUUGUGUGAAUCCUCCCCUAUAAAUAUCAAAAUUUUCUUCUCAAAAAAGCAUUCGUUCAUUCUUCUCAGUAAAAACACAAGAAGAAGAAGUUCGAAGCAGCAAAAAAGAGUAAUAUGUGAGCUAAAUUCGUCAAUCGCCGAUGGGUCGGACAUGCCGCUUGGUCACACGGCGGAGGCUCAGGUACAAACAGUUAUCGUUUAAAGAUAUGCACAGCUAAACCUGGAAAUUCCGGCAUAUUUAAAGGGAACGCCUCACCGUCAUCGCUCGACGAUGACUGGAGCACAUUCAUCAACCAAAAGAUAGUAAUCGCUGGUGACUUAAUCGUUUUCCUCCACUUCGAUUUCGGCAACCACUGCGUCAGGACUAGCGCGGUUGUCUCAGAUCCAAUAACAAAAACUUAUUCUGGCUUCAUCCGCGACCAUGAGACAAUACCAUCGAAGCUAAUGAAGAUGAAACGCAAUGCAACAGAAGUGAGCGCACCAGGGAGAAGAGUUAAGGUGGAGGCAGUGGCUGAAGCAGUGGGGCUUGCAGCAUGAAGACAAGUGAUCUUCAAGGAGAAAGAGAGGUAAAGCUUCUAACUUUCACAUCUAUGCUCUUUGGUUUCUGCAGAAUCGAUCAUUUAUUUAUGAUUCUCAGAAAGUUGAUUGAGAAUAAUGAUGAUUAUGAUGAUGAUGACCUUCUCUUUUCUUGAUUCAAGUGAGUUCUUUUUAUAUUUCUUGAUUAUAAAAGUCUUAAGACUUUGACCCAAUCUUUAUGGGUAAGCUUCCUUCAAGUGUAUGAAAUAGGUGCAUGAAGCUUUUCUCCAUGACGAGAAUGCUUGGAACUGUUAGUGAUAUAGGAGUAAACCGUGCGCAAACUCUAGCAUUCGGAACGUUACAAGGAGAAUGUAAAGUUGAAUGAUAUCUUACAAAAAAAAUUCAUGGUGAGAACUAUGAAAAGACUCAAACCAGCUGAUGAAUUAAGAGGCUUCUUCCGUUUUUGAACUGUUAACUUUCUUUAUGCCAUAUGUUUCUUUCCACAUGAUACUUAGUGAUUCUACGUACCAGCAGGAACAAAAAGAAAGUGAUACCGUCACAUUAACUUUAACCUUUGAAAAUCACUGAAAGUUUUUGAUAAUUCCCUUACAUGAUAAUGUUUUCUAUAGAUACAGGAAGACAAGCGCUAGGAUCACAAACAAUAAACUCAAAACCUAAUCACUAAUCCAAGCCACAUUUUCCUACCUGAACAAAUAGGCAGACAAGUCAAAACCAACUUUUGGUUCUUGGGUCAAGACGGCUGGGAGGCAUAGCAGAGAGGAACAAGAUAAACAAUUCUUCACCUAGAAAAUAGACAACAUUCAAAGUAAUAUAAAAAUCUUGCUUUGUGGUGUGCCUCUUUUUGGUCUGUUAAUAUAAAAGCUAAGAUAUUUUUUGAUUGUUUUGUUCCAUUUAAUUAUAUAUAUAUAUAUAUAUAUAUAUAUUACGAUGUUGUCGUUUUUACUAUGUUAAAACUGAGAAAGGAAUAUUUGAUGAGAUA